RNAcentral lists this ribosomal RNA (417 nucleotides) under uncultured bacterium. RNAcentral's name for it is "bacterial SSU rRNA". It matches the Rfam family "Bacterial small subunit ribosomal RNA", at positions 29 to 494 of the family's 1533-position model. The record is from RNAcentral.
AGCGAACGCUGGCGGCAGGCCUAACACAUGCAAGUCGAGCGCCCCGCAAGGGGAGCGGCAGACGGGAGAGUAACACGUGGGAACGUACCCUUCAGUUCGGAACAACCCAGGGAAACUUGGGCUAAUACCGAAUACGUCCGUAAGGAGAAAGAUUUAUCGCUGAAGGAUCGGCCCGCGUCUGAUUAGCUUGUUGGUGAGGUAACGGCUCACCAAGGCUACGAUCAGUAGCUGGCUGAGAGGAUGAUCAGCCUCACUGGGACUGAGACACGGCCCAGACUCCUACGGGAGGCAGCAGUGGGGAAUAUUGGACAAUGGGCGCAAGCCUGAUCCAGCCAUGCCGCGUGGGUGAUGAAGGCCCUAGGGUUGUAAAGCCCUUUCGGCGGGGAAGAUAAUGACGGUACCCGCAGAAGAAGCCCC